RNAcentral lists this transfer RNA (67 nucleotides) under Marmota monax (woodchuck). RNAcentral describes it as "tRNA.Val". The record is from RNAcentral. Lineage: Eukaryota; Metazoa; Chordata; Mammalia; Rodentia; Sciuridae.
GGUUCUGGCCCAGCGGUAGAGGGCUCACCUCACACAUGCGAGACCCUGGGUUCAAUUCUCAGCACCA